RNAcentral lists this ribosomal RNA (538 nucleotides) under uncultured Clostridia bacterium. RNAcentral describes it as "bacterial SSU rRNA". It matches the Rfam family "Bacterial small subunit ribosomal RNA", at positions 35 to 573 of the family's 1533-position model. Lineage: Bacteria; Bacillati; Bacillota; Clostridia. The record is from RNAcentral.
GCUGGCGGCGUGCCUAACACAUGCAAGUCGAACGAAGCAUUUACCAUGAAGUUUUCGGAUGGAAUGGUAACUGACUUAGUGGCGGACGGGUGAGUAACGCGUGGAUAACCUGCCUCAUACAGGGGGAUAACAGCUGGAAACGGCUGCUAACACCGCAUAAGCGCACAGUACCGCAUGGUACGGUGUGAAAAUAUUAAUAGGUAUGGGAUGGAUCCGCGUCUGAUUAGCUGGUUGGUAAGGUAAUGGCUUACCAAGGCGACGAUCAGUAGCCGGCUUGAGAGAGUGACCGGCCACAUUGGGACUGAGACACGGCCCAAACUCCUACGGGAGGCAGCAGUGGGGAAUAUUGCACAAUGGGGGAAACCCUGAUGCAGCGACGCCGCGUGAGUGAAGAAGUAUUUCGGUAUGUAAAGCUCUAUCAGCAGGGAAGAAAUUGACGGUACCUGACUAAGAAGCCCCGGCUAACUACGUGCCAGCAGCCGCGGUAAUACGUAGGGGGCAAGCGUUAUCCGGAUUUACUGGGUGUAAAGGGAGCGUA